RNAcentral lists this ribosomal RNA (493 nucleotides) under uncultured bacterium. RNAcentral's name for it is "partial 16S ribosomal RNA". It matches the Rfam family "Bacterial small subunit ribosomal RNA", at positions 30 to 523 of the family's 1533-position model. The record is from RNAcentral.
AUUGAACGCUGGCGGCAUGCUUUACACAUGCAAGUCGAACGGUAACAGGUUAAGCUGACGAGUGGCGAACGGGUGAGUAAUGCAUCGGAACGUGCCCGGUCGUGGGGGAUAACGCAGCGAAAGCUGCGCUAAUACCGCAUACGAUCUGAGGAUGAAAGCGGGGGACCGUAAGUCCUCGCGCGCUCGGAUCGGCCGAUGUCAGAUUAGGUAGUUGGUGGGGUAAAGGCUCACCAAGCCAACGAUCUGUAGCUGGUCUGAGAGGACGACCAGCCACACUGGGACUGAGACACGGCCCAGACUCCUACGGGAGGCAGCAGUGGGGAAUUUUGGACAAUGGGCGAAAGCCUGAUCCGGCAAUGCCGCGUGCAGGAAGAAGGCCUUCGGGUUGUAAACUGCUUUUGUACGGAGCGAAAAGGUCUCCUCUAAUACAGGGGGCUCAUGACGGUACCGUAAGAAUAAGCACCGGCUAACUACGUGCCAGCCGCCGCCGUAA